This 1528-nucleotide ribosomal RNA is filed under the name Klebsiella pneumoniae. RNAcentral's name for it is "bacterial SSU rRNA". It matches the Rfam family "Bacterial small subunit ribosomal RNA". The record is from RNAcentral. Lineage: Bacteria; Pseudomonadati; Pseudomonadota; Gammaproteobacteria; Enterobacterales; Enterobacteriaceae.
AGAGUUUGAUCAUGGCUCAGAUUGAACGCUGGCGGCAGGCCUAACACAUGCAAGUCGAGCGGUAGCACAGAGAGCUUGCUCUCGGGUGACGAGCGGCGGACGGGUGAGUAAUGUCUGGGAAACUGCCUGAUGGAGGGGGAUAACUACUGGAAACGGUAGCUAAUACCGCAUAAUGUCGCAAGACCAAAGUGGGGGACCUUCGGGCCUCAUGCCAUCAGAUGUGCCCAGAUGGGAUUAGCUUGUAGGUGGGGUAACGGCUCACCUAGGCGACGAUCCCUAGCUGGUCUGAGAGGAUGACCAGCCACACUGGAACUGAGACACGGUCCAGACUCCUACGGGAGGCAGCAGUGGGGAAUAUUGCACAAUGGGCGCAAGCCUGAUGCAGCCAUGCCGCGUGUGUGAAGAAGGCCUUCGGGUUGUAAAGCACUUUCAGCGGGGAGGAAGGCGUUAAGGUUAAUAACCUUGGCGAUUGACGUUACCCGCAGAAGAAGCACCGGCUAACUCCGUGCCAGCAGCCGCGGUAAUACGGAGGGUGCAAGCGUUAAUCGGAAUUACUGGGCGUAAAGCGCACGCAGGCGGUCUGUCAAGUCGGAUGUGAAAUCCCCGGGCUCAACCUGGGAACUGCAUUCGAAACUGGCAGGCUAGAGUCUUGUAGAGGGGGGUAGAAUUCCAGGUGUAGCGGUGAAAUGCGUAGAGAUCUGGAGGAAUACCGGUGGCGAAGGCGGCCCCCUGGACAAAGACUGACGCUCAGGUGCGAAAGCGUGGGGAGCAAACAGGAUUAGAUACCCUGGUAGUCCACGCCGUAAACGAUGUCGAUUUGGAGGUUGUGCCCUUGAGGCGUGGCUUCCGGAGCUAACGCGUUAAAUCGACCGCCUGGGGAGUACGGCCGCAAGGUUAAAACUCAAAUGAAUUGACGGGGGCCCGCACAAGCGGUGGAGCAUGUGGUUUAAUUCGAUGCAACGCGAAGAACCUUACCUGGUCUUGACAUCCACAGAACUUACCAGAGAUGCUUUGGUGCCUUCGGGAACUGUGAGACAGGUGCUGCAUGGCUGUCGUCAGCUCGUGUUGUGAAAUGUUGGGUUAAGUCCCGCAACGAGCGCAACCCUUAUCCUUUGUUGCCAGCGGUCCGGCCGGGAACUCAAAGGAGACUGCCAGUGAUAAACUGGAGGAAGGUGGGGAUGACGUCAAGUCAUCAUGGCCCUUACGACCAGGGCUACACACGUGCUACAAUGGCAUAUACAAAGAGAAGCGACCUCGCGAGAGCAAGCGGACCUCAUAAAGUAUGUCGUAGUCCGGAUUGGAGUCUGCAACUCGACUCCAUGAAGUCGGAAUCGCUAGUAAUCGUAGAUCAGAAUGCUACGGUGAAUACGUUCCCGGGCCUUGUACACACCGCCCGUCACACCAUGGGAGUGGGUUGCAAAAGAAGUAGGUAGCUUAACCUUCGGGAGGGCGCUUACCACUUUGUGAUUCAUGACUGGGGUGAAGUCGUAACAAGGUAACCGUAGGGGAACCUGCGGUUGGAUCACCU